UACGUAGGGUGCGAGCGUUAAUCGGAAUUACUGGGCGUAAAGUGUGCGCAGGCGGCCGCGCAAGUCGAGUGUGAAAUCCCCGAGCUUAACUUGGGAAUUGCGCUCGAAACUACGUGGCUGGAGUGCGGCAGAGGAAGGUGGAAUUCCACGUGUAGCGGUGAAAUGCGUAGAGAUGUGGAGGAACACCGAUGGCGAAGGCAGCCUUCUGGGCCAACACUGACGCUCAUGCACGAAAGCGUGGGGAGCAAACAGG
RNAcentral lists this ribosomal RNA (253 nucleotides) under uncultured bacterium. RNAcentral describes it as "partial 16S ribosomal RNA". It matches the Rfam family "Bacterial small subunit ribosomal RNA", at positions 524 to 776 of the family's 1533-position model. The record is from RNAcentral.